AAAGAAGCUCGGCUCAAACAUGCUUCCAAAUGGAUUUCUGAAGAAAGGAUCAUCAAAUGGAUCCCUUCCACCAAAGAAACCAGAAAUUAAGCUUCUUUGACCCGGAAAGCCUCCAAACCCACCAAAGGGGUCGCCGAAAUCAAAAAAAUCAUCCCUGCCCCCUCUGCUCCUUCUAUGCAUCGUUACAGUUCAAAAAAAUAAUACCCUUCAGCGAACAAGAUACGGAGG
This 228-nucleotide unclassified non-coding RNA is filed under the name Hevea brasiliensis (rubber tree). The record is from RNAcentral. Lineage: Eukaryota; Viridiplantae; Streptophyta; Magnoliopsida; Malpighiales; Euphorbiaceae.